CGCAGCUCUGUCCAGACCUUCUGGCUUCUGUGGUGGGAAAUGGUCCCACUGCAUCCAUAAAUGACCAGGGACAGGUGGACCCUGAGGACAUCAGGCUGCUGUCAGGAAGGGACCUGGUUGCUGAAUAGCCUCGGGUGACAAAGGGACGUUUCAGACACCUGGACAUGAUCUGACUGAGCUGUCUCUGGGACAUGCAUCCUGGCAGGGUGUGUGUGUGCGUGUGUGUGUGUGUGCAUGCAUGCAUGUGUGUGUGCAUGAGUGUGUGUGCAUGCAUGCAUGUGUGUGUUCAUAUGUGUGCAUGUGUGUGUGUGUGCACAUGAGUGUCAUUUAAAAAGCUGUGGCAGAUCUGAGUUGACGCAUUAGCCCUUUCUCACCCAGCCCCUUCCCAACCAAAGGGAUGACAGCGGAGGGUGCAGUCUGGCAGGUUUGUCCACUUGGGUUUUCAGGUCAUGACCUGGUUCACAGACUACUCUCUAGUCUAAUAAACUGACCAGUGGCCGGUUCCACACUCUGCCGUUGUGACCCCGUGACAAUGUCACCUAUAUUCGAGAUCCUUCCAAGAUCUUCCCCGAGCUGCAUGUGGCUGUGCUGAUGGACACGGAAUUUCGUAGUGAUUUCUUCUGGAGACUCGGAUCAUUGUUGAUGCUGCUUCUCCAGGGAGACAGGCUUGCGAGGGUGAUAUGUUCCUCCUGUGUAAGUGACGUAUGUGGACAUGGUGGGCCUUGUGUUCAUGUCAGAGGAACGUCUUGUUCAGGGUCACUCAGCUGCCAAGGGGACUGUCCGGGUUCCACUUCAGAUCUGCCCUCUAGAGCCUGGCUCCUUCUUGGGACAACCACCUCCUCUGCCACCUGUGACGGCACCACCCAGGACACCAGGUCAAGGUCUGGGGUGGCCACCACAGUAAUUCAGGCUUCCAGAGAUGAGCCUCCACCCACGGCCCUGCCAGGGCUUCUAGGGUCCGUUCUCCAGCCGAGGACUGGCAGGUAUCCACACAUGCGGAGGGCCAGCAGCUCGGAAACAGGGUCUCCACGCUCCCUGGAACAUGGUGAGUUAGCUGCCUGGGAGCUCUGGUCGCAUAGGAACAAUGCCGAGGCUUUAAACUGGGAAAAAACUGAGAUCUCGACCAGCCCCUCAGGUAAACCCCCCGAAGUCGGAAGUGGGCACCGGCUGCACCAGCAGUAACAGUGUGACGGGAAGCAAGGUCGCGUCCAGGGACGUCCUUGGAUGUUUCCUCCAUUUAAAAUGACUUUCAUCUUACAGAAAGUGGAAUGUUCUGUAUUAUUGCAUCAUAGUAGAAUACGAAGCACCAUCACUCCCUUGGCUUAAUGACACUGGCACUGAUAUUUUGGAAAUAAUGAUUUUUCCUAGUUUAGAAUGUAAAAGGUAUUAUUAUAGAAACGUCGUUCACAAGCUCCUCACUCAGAGGGUGCCUGUGAUAACAAUUGAGUAUCUUCACAUGAAGUUGGAAGGACGUUGUAUGUGUUUACCCGGCUUUCCACUCAACGUGCAGCGUGCACACGGUCCUGUCACAGAAGUCCUGAGGAGAUGAGAGAUGGCAUGGCUCAGCGAUCGCCGCUGGAGGAGGACAUUUACGUUAAAGCUACAAAGUGCAGAGGAAUCAUCGUCACAGACGUCGACAGCGUCACCGUUAGGAGGAAGGAAAUAAGAUGGGCAGGUCCAGUUGCUGGUGACAUUCUCCGUCAUAACUCCAGGAGAAGUACCUUUUCCCCCGUCUAAAUACUGCGUUAUAAUCUAUGUUUAAAUCAUACAUAGAUGUUUAAGGCACCAUUUUGUAGAUAUGGUAGUUUAAAAGUAGAUGUUAAAUGUAGAUAUUUCAGUUUAAAAGUAGUUUAAAUUUUUUUAGAGAAAUGUUUCUGGGAGCUUUUUGUUCUUCUAAUGUUAUUUUACUAAUGUAUCAGAAUAAGGGUAGUUCUUAUCCACUAACUAUAUGUCCUGACACGAGGACUGUUCAUGGCCGCUGGACCGCAUCCCAUCUGCGGGAGUUCACACUCCGACUGGAAGGCCUGGGACGCUACCACAUCAGUCUGUGCUGCGGUUUCUUCUUCUUAGAUGAAUCAACAGGGUCCCUACUCAGAGUCGGGAAAGUGCCUUAGAGUGAGCACCCUCCGAUGCUCGUGAGCUGGUCCAACAAGGAGCUCCAUGUGGUCACUCUGACCUGAGGGAAGUCUCUAAGCAACAGGAUUUUUCCCUGUGGGACGUAAUUCUGCACCUGCCCAAGGUGAAAUUAAGCGAGAGCUCUCACGGAUGCUGGCGUGUGAGAGCCACUGCUCACAGCCCCGGCACAAUCGCUCCCUGUAGCAAGAACCAGCCCAGAGCCACCAGGCUGCUUUUGGUGCACCUGCCCUCUUCGGGGCCUGGGGAUGCGGUGGCCCCAGCUCGGUCUUGGAAUUGCUCUGCCCUCCUAUUCCUGGGCACCACACACAAAACCCCCAGCCAUGCACAGCUGCUGAUGCCAUGCAGCAUCAUUUUUCAAAAUAAAGCCAAUUGCCAGGCUGGAUUUCAGAAAUUCCCUGACGGGCCUGGCAAAAAGUGACCCCCAGGCUCCCGCAGGUGUGUGAGGGGGCCAGAGAGCAGAGGUGCAGACGGCCAAGGCCAGAAGUGGCUGCAGGUGGGAAUCAGCCAGCAGAUGGCCCUCCCUGGAAGCUCCUUCUCACUCGACUAACGCCAGUGGAGUUUUCACAGGUGACUUGCCCUUCUUCAACUCCUCACGCAAUCUCAUGAAGCCAAAACAUGGGCACUUUGUGAGUCUGUCUUGGCAGGAGUUUCACUGGACCUUUCUGGAGCACCUCCUUCCCACAGGCCCGCGGUGGAGGCACUGGGGACAGGCAACGAGGUCCCUGUCCUGGGGCAGCCGCUCCAGUGCAAGACUCAGGAGGCAGGAGGAGGGCUGCUUCCUGCCUGGAGUGGGAGCCCGGGAGAAGGAAAAGGAAGCCUAUGGGCUACCACCAGGAGGACAGAUCAGACAAACCCCAGAGGGCCUGUGCCGGGCAUCACUGUGCCUAUAAAAACAAGGCCCUGAGGCUUCAUGGAGCCACGGAGAACUUGGCCCCUGGGAUGUGAGGACUCUUGCAGCUCAAGAACCUUCUCAGAGAUGAGCAACCAAAGGGGUGUGCACCAGACCCCGGUUUAAUCUUUCCCACUUCCAAAUAUUAUGACGCUUUAAAAAUAGGAUUGGUCCCUCAAAGGCUAUAGCAUUCUUGAGUAGAAUUAGUCGCCGCAGUCCCAACCUCUGUCAGACUUUCCUUCUCAGAAUCAAACGCCAGUAGGACAUGGGGUAUUUCAUCAAAAGAUCAGAGAGGGACACAGAUUUCAGGAGACAGGCUGGGAGCUGGCACCGAUGGAAACCAGCUGUGGGAACAGGCUCAUUAUCUUCUCCUGCUUUUGUGUGUGCCUGGAAAUGUCCAUAAUAAGCAGAAAGAAUAAGAAAAAGGAAAAGAAAGGAAAAUGACAAUUACUGCUGUUCCUGCGAAAGAAAACUAAGCCUUAACCACCCUUCCUUCUCUCUCUCAAGCUCUGUGGUAUCCUUGAAGACCGAGAGCCUCACCAUCACAGUAUCCACAGGACACUGCAGCCAGCAGCCCUGGAGGGGCAGAACGGGUUUGGAGCUUCCCAGCAGCCCCAUGCCUAGAGUCUCGUCUUCAUGCCACCUGGCCCAGAGUCUGCCGGCUGUGAG
This is a long non-coding RNA of Equus caballus (horse), 3694 nucleotides long. The record is from Ensembl. Lineage: Eukaryota; Metazoa; Chordata; Mammalia; Perissodactyla; Equidae.